Molecule: ribosomal RNA, 253 nt
Filed under: uncultured bacterium
Lineage: Bacteria
Description: partial 16S ribosomal RNA
Rfam family: Bacterial small subunit ribosomal RNA
Source: RNAcentral
UACGUAGGUGGCAAGCGUUGUCCGGAUUUACUGGGCGUAAAGGGCGUGCAGGCGGUCUGUUAAGUUCAGGGUGAAAGCUCCCGGCUCAACUGGGAGAGGUCCUUGGAUACUGGCAGACUUGAGGGAGGUAGAGGAGAGUGGAAUUCCCGGUGUAGUGGUGAUAUGCGUAGAUAUCAGGAAGAACACCCGUGGCGAAGGCGGCUCUCUGGGACGGUACUGACGCUGAGACGCGAAAGCGUGGGGAGCGAACAGG